UAGGGAAUUUUGCGCAAUGGGGGAAACCCUGACGCAGCAACACCGCGUGAAUGUUAAGCCCUUCGGGGUGUAAAGUUCUGUCAGUAGGGACGAAAUUUGACUGUACCUACAAAGGAAGCACCGGCUAACUCCGUGCCAGCAGCCGCGGUAAUACGGGGGGUGCAAGCGUUGUCCGGAAUUACUGGGUGUAAAGGGAGCGCAGGCGGGAAGUCAAGUCAGCUGUGAAAACUAUGGGCUCAACCCAUAGACUGCAGUUGAAACUGGCAGUCUUGAGUACAGUAGAGGUAAGCGGAAUUCGUGGUGUAGCGGUGAAAUGCUUAGAUAUCACGAAGAACUCCAAGUGCGAAGGCAGCUUGCUGGACUGUAACUGACGCUGAUGCUCGAAAGUGUGGGUAUCAAACA
RNAcentral lists this ribosomal RNA (402 nucleotides) under uncultured bacterium. RNAcentral describes it as "bacterial SSU rRNA". It matches the Rfam family "Bacterial small subunit ribosomal RNA", at positions 355 to 774 of the family's 1533-position model. The record is from RNAcentral.